UACGGGGGGGGUAAGCGUUGUUCGGAAUUACUGGGCGUAAAGGGCUCGUAGGCGGCCAACUAAGUCAAACGUGAAAUCCCUCGGCUUAACCGGGGAACUGCGCUUGAUACUGGAUGGCUUGAGAUUGGGAGAGGGAUGCGGAAUUCCAGGUGUAGCGGUGAAAUGCGUAGAUAUCUGGAGGAACACCGGUGGCGAAGGCGGCAUCCUGGACCAACACUGACGCUGGGGAGCGAAAGCCAGGGGAGCAAACGGG
Molecule: ribosomal RNA, 253 nt
Filed under: uncultured bacterium
Lineage: Bacteria
Description: partial 16S ribosomal RNA
Rfam family: Bacterial small subunit ribosomal RNA
Source: RNAcentral